Molecule: ribosomal RNA, 705 nt
Filed under: Providencia rettgeri
Lineage: Bacteria; Pseudomonadati; Pseudomonadota; Gammaproteobacteria; Enterobacterales; Morganellaceae
Description: bacterial SSU rRNA
Rfam family: Bacterial small subunit ribosomal RNA
Source: RNAcentral
CGAAGACUGACGCUCAGGUGCGAAAGCGUGGGGAGCAAACAGGAUUAGAUACCCNGGUAGUCCACGCCGUAAAUNACGUCGAUUUGGAGGUAGUUCCCAAGAUGAGUCGCUUUUGGAGAUAACGCGUUAACUCGACCGCCGGCGGAGUACGGCCGCAACGCGAAUACUCCUCAGAUGAGACGACGGCCCGCACCAGCGGCGGUGCAGCACGUGGAAUUCUUUGAUGCAACGAGAACAACCUUACUUAGUCUUGACAUCCAGAGAAGUUAGCAGAGAUGAUAUUGUGCCUUCGGGAACUGUGAGACAGGUGCUGCAUGGCUGUCGUCAGCUCGUGUUGUGAAAUGUUGGGUUAAGUCCCGCAACGAGCGCAACCCUUAUCCUUUGUUGCCAGCGAUUCGGUCGGGAACUCAAAGGAGACUGCCGGUGAUAAACUGGAGGAAGGUGGGGAUGACGUCAAGUCAUCAUGGCCCUUACGAGUAGGGCUACACACGUGCUACAAUGGCGUAUACAAAGAGAAGCGACCUCGCGAGAGCAAGCGGAACUCAUAAAGUGCGUCGUAGUCCGGAUUGGAGUCUGCAACUCGACUCCAUGAAGUCGGAAUCGCUAGUAAUCGUGGAUCAGAAUGCCACGGUGAAUACGUUCCCGGGCCUUGUACACACCGCCCGUCACACCAUGGGAGUGGGUUGCAAAAGAAGUAGGUAGCUU